Molecule: transfer RNA, 67 nt
Filed under: Protambulyx ockendeni
Lineage: Eukaryota; Metazoa; Arthropoda; Insecta; Lepidoptera; Sphingidae
Description: tRNA-Leu
Source: RNAcentral
UCUAACGUGACAGAUCAUAUGUAAUGGAUUUAAACCCCAUUUAUAAAGGAAAAUCCUUUCUUUAGAA